GACGAACGCUGGCGGCGUGCUUAACACAUGCAAGUCGAACGGAAAGGCCCUGCUUUUGUGGGGUGCUCGAGUGGCGAACGGGUGAGUAACACGUGAGUAACCUGCCCUUGACUUUGGGAUAACUUCAGGAAACUGGGGCUAAUACCGGAUAGGAGCUCCUGCUGCAUGGUGGGGGUUGGAAAGUUUCGGCGGUUGGGGAUGGACUCGCGGCUUAUCAGCUUGUUGGUGGGGUAGUGGCUUACCAAGGCUUUGACGGGUAGCCGGCCUGAGAGGGUGACCGGCCACAUUGGGACUGAGAUACGGCCCAGACUCCUACGGGAGGCAGCAGUGGGGAAUAUUGCACAAUGGGCGGAAGCCUGAUGCAACAACGCCGCGUGCGGGAUGACGGCCUUCGGGUUGUAAACCGCUUUCGCCUGCGACGAAGCGUGAGUGACGGUAAUGGGUAAAGAAGCACCGGCUAACUACGU
RNAcentral lists this ribosomal RNA (467 nucleotides) under uncultured bacterium. RNAcentral describes it as "partial 16S ribosomal RNA". It matches the Rfam family "Bacterial small subunit ribosomal RNA", at positions 28 to 506 of the family's 1533-position model. The record is from RNAcentral.